UUGCAUGUGCACAUGUCUGCCCCUCUUUUCUUUGGGAGUAGGAACAUGCUACAUUGAUUAAGGGGUUAUCAGGGCUACCAAUCUUCCAGAAGAGGUUGAGUAGUAGUAUAUUUCUCCUACAUUA
Small nucleolar RNA from Onychomys torridus (southern grasshopper mouse), 124 nucleotides. RefSeq annotates it as small nucleolar RNA U109. Lineage: Eukaryota; Metazoa; Chordata; Mammalia; Rodentia; Cricetidae. The record is from RefSeq and is a predicted model, not a curated record. The transcript has a single exon.